RNAcentral lists this ribosomal RNA (1016 nucleotides) under Staphylococcus sp. A7.5. RNAcentral describes it as "bacterial SSU rRNA". It matches the Rfam family "Bacterial small subunit ribosomal RNA", at positions 48 to 1043 of the family's 1533-position model. The record is from RNAcentral. Lineage: Bacteria; Bacillati; Bacillota; Bacilli; Caryophanales; Staphylococcaceae.
CUAAUACAUGCAAGUCGAGCGAACGGACGAGAAGCUUGCUUCUCUGAUGUUAGCGGCGGACGGGUGAGUAACACGUGGAUAACCUACCUAUAAGACUGGGAUAACUUCGGGAAACCGGAGCUAAUACCGGAUAAUAUUUUGAACCGCAUGGUUCAAAAGUGAAAGACGGUCUUGCUGUCACUUAUAGAUGGAUCCGCGCUGCAUUAGCUAGUUGGUAAGGUAACGGCUUACCAAGGCAACGAUGCAUAGCCGACCUGAGAGGGUGAUCGGCCACACUGGAACUGAGACACGGUCCAGACUCCUACGGGAGGCAGCAGUAGGGAAUCUUCCGCAAUGGGCGAAAGCCUGACGGAGCAACGCCGCGUGAGUGAUGAAGGUCUUCGGAUCGUAAAACUCUGUUAUUAGGGAAGAACAUAUGUGUAAGUAACUGUGCACAUCUUGACGGUACCUAAUCAGAAAGCCACGGCUAACUACGUGCCAGCAGCCGCGGUAAUACGUAGGUGGCAAGCGUUAUCCGGAAUUAUUGGGCGUAAAGCGCGCGUAGGCGGUUUUUUAAGUCUGAUGUGAAAGCCCACGGCUCAACCGUGGAGGGUCAUUGGAAACUGGAAAACUUGAGUGCAGAAGAGGAAAGUGGAAUUCCAUGUGUAGCGGUGAAAUGCGCAGAGAUAUGGAGGAACACCAGUGGCGAAGGCGACUUUCUGGUCUGUAACUGACGCUGAUGUGCGAAAGCGUGGGGAUCAAACAGGAUUAGAUACCCUGGUAGUCCACGCCGUAAACGAUGAGUGCUAAGUGUUAGGGGGUUUCCGCCCCUUAGUGCUGCAGCUAACGCAUUAAGCACUCCGCCUGGGGAGUACGACCGCAAGUUUGGAACUCAAAGGAUUUGACGGGGACCCGCACAAGCGGUGGAGCAUGUGGUUUAAUUCGAAGCAACGCGAAGAACCUUACCAAAUCUUGACAUCCUUUGACAACUCUAGAGAUAGAGCCUUCCUCUUCGGGGGACAAAGUGACAGGUGGUG